UCCCUGGUGGCUCAGUGGUUAAAGCAUCUGCCUCCAAUGCAGGAGACCUGGGUUCGAUCCCUAGGUUGGGAA
Ovis aries (sheep) is the source of this 72-nucleotide transfer RNA. It matches the Rfam family "tRNA". Rfam says of the family: Transfer RNA (tRNA) molecules are approximately 80 nucleotides in length. Their secondary structure includes four short double-helical elements and three loops (D, anti-codon, and T loops). The record is from Rfam. Lineage: Eukaryota; Metazoa; Chordata; Mammalia; Artiodactyla; Bovidae.